This is a non-coding RNA of Aethalodelphis obliquidens (Pacific white-sided dolphin), 552 nucleotides long. Lineage: Eukaryota; Metazoa; Chordata; Mammalia; Artiodactyla; Delphinidae. The record is from the annotation of a RefSeq genome assembly.
AUAAAAGGAUAUGAGUAGAACCCAGAGCUGCUGUGGUGUCUCGGAGGCAGAGCUCAGGGCGUCCACACCAUGGCCUGGACCCCUCUCCUGUUCCCCCUCUUCAUCCUCUGCACAGGCUCCGUGGCCUCCUAUGAGCUGACCCAGCCGCCAUUAGUGUCCGUGGCCUUGGGACAGACGUCCAAGAUCACCUGCUCUGGAGACCUACUGGACAAAAAAUAUACAUAUUGGCACCAGCAGAAGCCAGGCCAGGCCCCUGUGCUGGUCAUUUAUGAGGACAGCAAGCGGCCCUCAGGGAUCCCAGACCGAUUCUCUGGUUCCAGCUCAGGCAAAAUUGCCACCCUGACCAUCAGCAGGGCCCAGGCUGAGGACGAGGCUGACUAUUACUGUGGGUCAGCUGACAGCAGUGAUUAUGUUCACAGUGACACAGGCAGACAGGGAAAUCUACAGCACAUCUCACUGCGACCACCCACAUUGCAUGUUCAGAAGCCUCCUUGGCUUGUGGCCACCAUGUUGGACAGAGCAGGUGAGAUGGAUGAGGUCUCCUUGGGGUAA